Small nuclear RNA from Dipodomys ordii (Ord's kangaroo rat), 104 nucleotides. The record is from Ensembl. Lineage: Eukaryota; Metazoa; Chordata; Mammalia; Rodentia; Heteromyidae.
CUGCUGUUUUCAGCAGCACAUUUGUGACAUUUGGAAUGAUACAGAGAUUAAUAUGGCCAUUGUGUAACAAGGACAUGCAAAUUCAUAAAGUACUCCAUAUUCUG